AUGCGUUGUUGGGUAGGGGAGCGUUCUGUAAGCCUGCGAAGGUGUGCUGUGAGGCAUGCUGGAGGUAUCAGAAGUGCGAAUGCUGACAUAAGUAACGAUAAAGCGGGUGAAAAGCCCGCUCGCCGGAAGACCAAGGGUUCCUGUCCAACGUUAAUCGGGGCAGGGUGAGUCGACCCCUAAGGCGAGGCCGAAAGGCGUAGUCGAUGGGAAACAGGUUAAUAUUCCUGUACUUGGUGUUACUGCGAAGGGGGGACGGAGAAGGCUAUGUUGGCCGGGCGACGGUUGUCCCGGUUUAAGCGUGUAGGCUGGUUUUCCAGGCAAAUCCGGAAAAUCAAGGCUGAGGCGUGAUGACGAGGCACUGCGGUGCUGAAGCAACAAAUGCCCUGCUUCCAGGAAAAGCCUCUAAGCAUCAGGUAACAUCAAAUCGUACCCCAAACCGACACAGGUGGUCAGGUAGAGAAUACCAAGGCGCUUGAGAGAACUCGGGUGAAGGAACUAGGCAAAAUGGUGCCGUAACUUCGGGAGAAGGCACGCUGAUAUGUAGGUGAAGUCCCUCGCGGAUGGAGCUGAAAUCAGUCGAAGAUACCAGCUGGCUGCAACUGUUUAUUAAAAACACAGCACUGUGCAAACACGAAAGUGGACGUAUACGGUGUGACGCCUGCCCGGUGCCGGAAGGUUAAUUGAUGGGGUUAGCGCAAGCGAAGCUCUUGAUCGAAGCCCCGGUAAACGGCGGCCGUAACUAUAACGGUCCUAAGGUAGCGAAAUUCCUUGUCGGGUAAGUUCCGACCUGCACGAAUGGCGUAAUGAUGGCCAGGCUGUCUCCACCCGAGACUCAGUGAAAUUGAACUCGCUGUGAAGAUGCAGUGUACCCGCGGCAAGACGGAAAGACCCCGUGAACCUUUACUAUAGCUUGACACUGAACAUUGAGCCUUGAUGUGUAGGAUAGGUGGGAGGCUUUGAAGUGUGGACGCCAGUCUGCAUGGAGCCGACCUUGAAAUACCACCCUUUAAUGUUUGAUGUUCUAACGUUGACCCGUAAUCCGGGUUGCGGACAGUGUCUGGUGGGUAGUUUGACUGGGGCGGUCUCCUCCUAAAGAGUAACGGAGGAGCACGAAGGUUGGCUAAUCCUGGUCGGACAUCAGGAGGUUAGUGCAAUGGCAUAAGCCAGCUUGACUGCGAGCGUGACGGCGCGAGCAGGUGCGAAAGCAGGUCAUAGUGAUCCGGUGGUUCUGAAUGGAAGGGCCAUCGCUCAACGGAUAAAAGGUACUCCGGGGAUAACAGGCUGAUACCGCCCAAGAGUUCAUAUCGACGGCGGUGUUUGGCACCUCGAUGUCGGCUCAUCACAUCCUGGGGCUGAAGUAGGUCCCAAGGGUAUGGCUGUUCGCCAUUUAAAGUGGUACGCGAGCUGGGUUUAGAACGUCGUGAGACAGUUCGGUCCCUAUCUGCCGUGGGCGCUGGAGAACUGAGGGGGGCUGCUCCUAGUACGAGAGGACCGGAGUGGACGCAUCACUGGUGUUCGGGUUGUCAUGCCAAUGGC
This 1536-nucleotide ribosomal RNA is filed under the name Escherichia coli. RNAcentral describes it as "partial 23S ribosomal RNA". It matches the Rfam family "Bacterial large subunit ribosomal RNA", at positions 1216 to 2736 of the family's 2925-position model. The record is from RNAcentral. Lineage: Bacteria; Pseudomonadati; Pseudomonadota; Gammaproteobacteria; Enterobacterales; Enterobacteriaceae.